Molecule: ribosomal RNA, 468 nt
Filed under: uncultured bacterium
Lineage: Bacteria
Description: partial 16S ribosomal RNA
Rfam family: Bacterial small subunit ribosomal RNA
Source: RNAcentral
GACGAACGCUGGCGGCGUGCUUAACGCAUGCAAGUCGAACGGAAAGGCCCUGCUUUUGUGGGGUGCUCGAGUGGCGAACGGGUGAGUAACACGUGAGUAACCUGCCCUUGACUUUGGGAUAACUUCAGGAAACUGGGGCUAAUACCGGAUAGGAGCUCCUGCUGCAUGGUGGGGGUUGGAAAGUUUCGGCGGUUGGGGAUGGACUCGCGGCUUAUCAGCUUGUUGGUGGGGUAGUGGCUUACCAAGGCUUUGACGGGUAGCCGGCCUGAGAGGGUGACCGGCCACAUUGGGACUGAGAUACGGCCCAGACUCCUACGGGAGGCAGCAGUGGGGAAUAUUGCACAAUGGGCGGAAGCCUGAUGCAGCAACGCCGCGUGCGGGAUGACGGCCUUCGGGUUGUAAACCGCUUUCGCCUGUGACGAAGCGGGAGUGACGGUAAUGGGUAAAGAAGCACCGGCUAACUACGUG